GAUGAACGCUGGCGGCGUGCCUAAUACAUGCAAGUCGAGCGAACGGACGAGAAGCUUGCUUUUCUGAUGUUAGCGGCGGACGGGUGAGUAACACGUGGAUAACCUACCUAUAAGACUGGGAUAACUUCGGGAAACCGGAGCUAAUACCGGAUAAUAUUUUGAACCGCAUGGUUCAAAAGUGGAAGACGGUCUUGCUGUCACUUAUAGAUGGAUCCGCGCUGCAUUAGCUAGUUGGUAAGGUAACGGCUUACCAAGGCAACGAUGCAUAGCCGACCUGAGAGGGUGAUCGGCCACACUGGAACUGAGACACGGUCCAGACUCCUACGGGAGGCAGCAGUAGGGAAUCUUCCGCAAUGGGCGAAAGCCUGACGGAGCAACGCCGCGUGAGUGAUGAAGGUCUUCGGAUCGUAAAACUCUGUUAUUAGGGAAGAACAUAUGUGUAAGUAACUGUGCACAUCUUGACGGUACCUAAUCAGAAAGCCACGGCUAACUACGUG
Molecule: ribosomal RNA, 497 nt
Filed under: uncultured bacterium
Lineage: Bacteria
Description: partial 16S ribosomal RNA
Rfam family: Bacterial small subunit ribosomal RNA
Source: RNAcentral